RNAcentral lists this ribosomal RNA (496 nucleotides) under uncultured bacterium. RNAcentral's name for it is "partial 16S ribosomal RNA". It matches the Rfam family "Bacterial small subunit ribosomal RNA", at positions 28 to 506 of the family's 1533-position model. The record is from RNAcentral.
GAUGAACGCUGGCGGCGUGCCUAAUACAUGCAAGUCGAGCGAACAGACGAGGAGCUUGCUCCUCUGACGUUAGCGGCGGACGGGUGAGUAACACGUGGAUAACCUACCUAUAAGACUGGGAUAACUUCGGGAAACCGGAGCUAAUACCGGAUAAUAUAUUGAACCGCAUGGUUCAAUAGUGAAAGACGGUUUUGCUGUCACUUAUAGAUGGAUCCGCGCCGCAUUAGCUAGUUGGUAAGGUAACGGCUUACCAAGGCAACGAUGCGUAGCCGACCUGAGAGGAUGAUCGGCCACACUGGAACUGAGACACGGUCCAGACUCCUACGGGAGGCAGCAGUAGGGAAUCUUCCGCAAUGGGCGAAAGCUUGACGGAGCAACGCCGCGGGAGUGAUGAAGGUCUUCGGAUCGUAAAACUCUGUUAUUAGGGAAGAACAAAUGUGUAAGUAACUAUGCACGUCUUGACGGUACCUAAUCAGAAAGCCACGGCUAACUACGU